Phalaenopsis equestris is the source of this 2770-nucleotide long non-coding RNA. RefSeq lists it as uncharacterized. The record is from RefSeq and is a predicted model, not a curated record. NCBI's taxonomy places the organism in Eukaryota, Viridiplantae, Streptophyta, Magnoliopsida, Asparagales, Orchidaceae. The transcript is spliced from 2 exons.
UCAUUAUUUAUAAAAAAUAGAAAAUAAAAAAAAGCGGGGAUCCGCUGUUUCUUGAAAAACAACAAAUUCCUAUAUGAGUGACAUCCAUUGUCCGCAGAACUCACGUGGCUGCAAAUCAAGGGCUACAAUCACAUCGUACAAUAAAUAUAUAUAAGUCUAUUGCAGCAAUAAUAAGCAGACGCACGCAAUGACGUAAAUACCUAAAACCGUUCAUCACACGCAACCACGAGCUGGCGAUAACUACUCAAAACAAAUAGUCCUCGCAUCCAAUCCGUCAAAACUACACCGCCUUAGGCAACGGCUGAUCUUGUUCCAAAGUUCUCAAUAAAUACCAACCUCCGCUACCAUGUUUUUCAGCGCUAGGGUUUUUCCUAUCUUUUCGUGUCUGGUCAGCGGAGGAAUUUGCUAUCUCCCUCUCUUCCUCCUUUUCGUUUUUCUGUACGGAAGGCGUGGGCAUGUCGACCUUCGUUAUCCGAUGGGGGCUUUUCAUCUCCUUCGGCGAUAUCUUCGGCCCGUUUGAUCGAUCUGCUAUUCUAUAUUAAUCUUUUUUCGCUAGAUCUGUCCCUCUUAAAAGUUUUUCAGGAUUCCUUUUCACUUUGCGUUUUAUUUUUUGUUAUAUAUCUUCCCACAGUGGCGGCUGAUGAGUUCUUGCGUUGCGAUAUGGUGUCAGAUUCCUUAAGUUCGCGUCUAAAUUAAGUGGAAUGAGGCCGAUCUAUUGCAGUCCCGCCAGAUCUCUUUUUCUAUCGGGAAAACCCUAUUGUUUCUUUUUUAUUUUUAGAUCUGUUAUUUUCGUGCAGAUGAUUUUAUUUUGAUUUUGCGUUGUUUUUUUAUGAAUUCUCAUUCUACAGUUGCUGGUAACAACUGGGUGGGGUGUUCGAUACCUUGAUGAUGUGAUCGGUAUAUCGAGGAGGCGUUUCAACAGUAUCUGUUUGACAUGAUCUUUUCGGCAAAAUCAACCUGUUUUUUGGAACUCUUUUCUGUUUUCCUUGAAUCGUUAUCUAGUUAUCAUCAAAUCAUCAACUUUUUUUUUUUUAUUUUUAAUUUUCUACUGCAGUUCCAUUUGAUGACUUUGGGGUCGGUUAGGAUUUCAGCAUGUUCAUUUCUUCGCGGCGUUACGGAGAUUGAGGCCGAUUUAUUGAAAAUCAGACAAGACUUAUUUACUUUCGGGAGAUACUUUCUGCCUUUUGUUUAAAUUGUUCAUUUCGUUUGGUUUGCUUGUGCGAGAAAUAUUAUGUGACUGCUACAUAGAUCUGAUACGUUGUUAUUUUGUGUUUGUCUUAUUUGAAACUGCAGUUUCUGGAAAAAAUUUUGAGGUCGAAAACCUAUGUCCUGUGAUAGUCUCGGCCAACUCAUGCCCAUUUUUCUUCAACCAGAGCUGACACUUUAGGCUGUUCAUUCAACCUUUUAAACACUUUUUUUUGCUUGCCUAAUAAUUUUUCAUAGACUUUGUUGAAUUUAUGUUUUUGAGGGGGGGUUUGUUGUGUCAGGGUGCUUGGUUCGGUAUGUUGGUGCGGAUGAACGCUAAUAUGGCGCAACUUAAAUCGGUUUGGUUAACUUUUUUUGUUAAUAUUUAUCGUUUUUUUUUCUUUUGUACUAUCAGGGUUUUCGUUUGCAUGACAAUUUAUGUGUUUUUUGGAAUAUUUGGAUUGUUUUUUGUUUAAUUUUUAUUUUGCAGCACUCCAUGCUGAUAUGCAAGAUGCCAGUUUCCUCGAUUCAUUGUCCAGUAUUCUGAGUCGGGCUGCUGGAAUUCAAUCAAAUUGUAGAGAAGAUUCUAGCGUCGGAAGAAUAGGAUCUUAGUGCCGUUGAAAUAUUCGCUUGGGCCUAUUCUUUUAGUAUAGAUGUAAACGUUGAGCACAAGUGAGAAUCAAGAGGGUAGUGGAUACACUUACGAAAAUGGAAGGUACAACAUCUUGAGGACAUGAUUACUUUUUUCUGAUGUCGGCCUUUGCCAUGUUGGGUGAGCUCGCAUGGCAGGUCAAACAUAAUAAUACUUCUAUUUUCUGUUUUGCGGGGGGGUACGGGGUAAUCCUUUAUCCCGUGUUCUCCUUGACUGUCUUUCUUGUCUUGUUCUUUGCUCAACUCAAAAAGUCGUCUCUUCUGUUCAAUUCCACGCGUUGCGCAAUUUAUGGAGGUUCAUGUCUACGUGCGAUUGUCCUUUAAGUUCAUGUGGAACGUAGCAAAACAUUUUAAUUCAAGCCCUCGCUGCGCCCUCCAUAAUAAAAAAACUGCAUGAGAAGAUUCAUCUGGAAGAGGGAGAGGGAAUCACCUGGGCUACAGAUUUGUCGUUAUUUUGAAAAGAAGCAAGACUACGCCUCGCAAAUUAGUUCAUCAGUUUGGGUCUCUUUCUUGCUGCAUCUAUGCAAAAGACUGCCUCGCAGUUUAGUUCAUCAGUUUGGGUCUCUUUCUUGCUGCAUCCAUGCAAAAGACUGCCUCGCAGUUUAGUUCAUCAGUUUGGGUCUCUUUCUUGCUGCAUCCAUAUGCAUCCAGGGGUUUCUAGAGAAGAUUUACACCGACCUUUUGAGUCAGUACUCGACAUUUUGAAGUUGAUUAUAUUUCAAAGAGGCAUGAGCUUAUGACGAGAAACCUUGUUGAUUAGUGUUUAUUGCUUAUUGUUCUUCUAAUCUUGUUAGUUUUAAGUUGAAUAUAAUUCACGAACUAGAUGGUUUUUUUUGUUUUUGUUUUGAUAGUUAAUUGGUCAGUAUUGUUCUCUACCGAAUAGUCUUUAUUCUUUAGAUGCAUUAUUUGUUUUGUUGGGGCGUUCAUUUGAAAC